GAUGAAGAACGUAGCGAAAUGCGACAAGUAAUGUGAAUUGCAGAAUUCCGUGAAUCAUCGAAUCUUUGAACGCACAUUGCGCCCUCUGGUAUUCUGGAGGGCAUGCCUGUCCGAGCGUCAUUUCAACCCUCAUGCCCCUAGGGCGUGGUGUUGGGGAUCGGCCAAAGCCCGCGAGGGACGGCCGGCCCCUAAAUCUAGUGGCGGACCCGUCGUGGCCUCCUCUGCGAAGUAGUGAUAUUCCGCAUCGGAGAGCGAUGAGCCCCUGCCGUUAAACCCCCAACUUUCCAAGGUUGACCUCAGAUCAGGUAGGAAUACCCGCUGAACUUAAGCAUAUCAAUAAGCGGAGGA
RNAcentral lists this unclassified non-coding RNA (348 nucleotides) under soil metagenome. RNAcentral's name for it is "partial contains 5.8S ribosomal RNA, internal transcribed spacer 2, and large subunit ribosomal RNA". The stretch from base 1 to 120 matches the Rfam family "5.8S ribosomal RNA", at positions 35 to 154 of the family's 154-position model. The record is from RNAcentral.